CCAACCUCCACAUUCUCUAAUAAUUGGCUCAGCCAAAGCUUCAAUUUUCUACAUUCUCUCCUGCUCACCUUCUAACAUGGCCACAGGGGGUUCCGUGGAGGCUGGAAACGUGACUUACACUGAUGGAGUGCACUGAGUCUGCAGAAUUUGUUUGCAACUAAAAUGCCUGCCCUGGACAUGUAACAAUAAAAGUAAUUAAAUCUGA
Molecule: long non-coding RNA, 205 nt
Organism: Mastomys coucha (southern multimammate mouse)
Lineage: Eukaryota; Metazoa; Chordata; Mammalia; Rodentia; Muridae
Exons: 2
Source: RefSeq, a predicted model, not a curated record